UGGGUAUGCUUGGUGACUGCUGGUAUGUCCUUUCUCGUUGCCUUUAUGAUUUAUAGCUAUAUUUCAUUCUCUACUUGGUGGAGAUUACAUUGUUAAUUGAUGUCCUCUGUAGGCUUUCUACUUCUGUGGAAAGUUUACUCUUGUGAAGUUAGUAUGGGGAAUCAAUAUCGUAAUAAAUUUAAGGACAAUGAUAGAGUGAUGACUGAAGGUAAUGAGGAAAUUUUGGUCCUAGAUAGAGCGGAUUGUGGGGAAGAGAAUUGCAUGACAUAUCCCAACUGGUUGGGGACCAAGGGUUAGUCAAGUUGAGGGGGGGAAAGCUUAAAGAAAUUGUUACCAAACAAUUGUUGAAGGCUUUCUUGAACUACAUAGAAUAAUACUUUCUCCAAAUGGUUAAAAUUGCAGCAAGAUGGAGAAAGUUCUUUACAAAAAGCAGCUAAAUCAAUGACUGAAGAGAGUGGAGGUGGUGGAUUGGCGACACUUAGAAUAAAAAAAUAAAAUAAAAUUUUGGCCAAGCAUGCCAUGAAGCUUGACUAAGGCAGUCAGAUACUCCCAUCAAAUGUUUGAUGAUAUAUCUAGAUCAUACUUGUGUGUUGUGCAUCUGCUUUAGAAAACCUUAAAUGAUUAUCAUAUUGUUGAAUGUUAAAAGAGGCCUGAUCCAUAGGGAGUUGCAAUGUAGAAAUUGAAGGUUAUAAUCCUAACCACCUUCUUUUUUUAAAAAAAACCUUGUUAAAAGAUACAUUUACCUUCAUUGAUAACUUCCAAAAUCUAUGGUAGCAGGCAUUGAGUCCUGAUGUUUUUACAUUGAGUAAAAUUUUUACCACCAUUUUUGUUGCAGCCGCACACUGGGUGAUCCUGGUU
This 858-nucleotide unclassified non-coding RNA is filed under the name Hevea brasiliensis (rubber tree). Lineage: Eukaryota; Viridiplantae; Streptophyta; Magnoliopsida; Malpighiales; Euphorbiaceae. The record is from RNAcentral.